Molecule: microRNA precursor, 85 nt
Filed under: Medicago truncatula (barrel medic)
Lineage: Eukaryota; Viridiplantae; Streptophyta; Magnoliopsida; Fabales; Fabaceae
Description: MIR2617 microRNA precursor family
Rfam family: MIR2617 microRNA precursor family
Source: Rfam by way of RNAcentral
AAGAAGUGUGACAUUCCGUUUGUGAUGAUUACUCUGAUUAUUUAAAUAAAUUUUUUAUGUUGGGAAAACGGGGUGUUACACUUUU